GCUGCCUUCUCCUGAGAGUCGGAGCCACAGCCAGAGCCCUGCCCAGGCCGAGCCGGAGCUGCAGCCCGAGCGCGGUGGUGCCCUCAGCCCCGUCCUCUUGUCCUCCUCAGCCUCGGUGCCUUGGAAUUUGUGUCGCUGAGUCAGCAAGCCUUUCAGAUUUGCCCGGUUUUUGUUGUUUGUGGUUUGUAUCAAGAUGGGAACUCAAACAAGUCAUUCCUCCUAAGGAGCUGGUGUCUUCAUCCAGAAGGGACAGUUUGUGCCAGCUCUCCAGAGAGAAAAGAUCUGCCGGAGGCGCUGGGCAAUGACCCCGGGACUCCAGGCCAGAGGGGUCUGAAGCUGUUUGGGAAAGCAGCGGGACUCCUUGGGAAGAUGGCCAUGGCCCCAAGCCCUUCCCUGGUGCAGGUGUACACCAGCCCCGCAGCUGUGGCUAUGGCAGGAUGGGCUGGGCACCUGGCACCCCUACAGUGCCACCAUCUGCAGCUUCAUCGAGCAGCAGUUUGUCCAGCAGAAGGGCCAACGUUUUGGGCUUGGGAGCCUGGCCCACAGCAUCCCCUUGGGCCAGGCAGACCCCUCGCUGGCCCGUUACAUUAUUGACCUCCCCAGCUGGACCCAGUUCCGCCAGGACACCGGCACCAUGCGGACUGUGCGGAGACACCUGUUCCCCCAGCACUCAGCCCCUGGCCGAGGUGUCGUCUGGGAGUGGCUGAGCGACGAUGGCUCCUGGACCGCCUAUGAAGCCGGCGUCUGUGACGAUCUGGAGCAGCAGGUGGCCAGGGGCAACCAGCUCGUGGACUUGGCCCCCCUGGGGUACAACUACACUGUCAACUACACCACCCACACGCAGACCAACAAGACUUCCAGCUUCUGCUGCAGCGUGCGGCGCCAAGCAGGGCCGCCUUACCCAGUGACCACCAUCAUCGCUCCGCCGGGCCACACAGGCGUCGCCUGCUCUUGCCACCAGUGCCUCAGUGGCAGCAGAACUGGCCCUGUAUCAGGCCGCUACCGCCACUCCAUGACCAACCUCCCUGCAUACCCCGCCCCCCAGCACCCCCCCCACAGGACCGCUUCUGUGUUUGGGACCCACCAGGCCUUUGCACCAUACAACAAACCCUCACUCUCCGGGGCCCGGUCUGCGCCCAGGCUGAACACCACGAACGCCUGGGACGCAGCUCCUCCUUCCCUGGGGAGCCAGCCCCUCUACCGCUCCAGCCUCUCCCACCUGGGACCGCAGCACCUGCCCCCAGGAUCCUCCACCUCCGGUGCAGUCAGUGCCUCCCUCCCCAGCGGUCCCUCAAGCAGCCCAGGGAGCGUCCCUGCCACUGUGCCCAUGCAGAUGCCAAAGCCCAGCAGAGUCCAGCAGGCGCUCGCAGGAGCGACCCCGAAGCCAGAGCCAGAGCCAGAGCAGGUCAUAAAAAACUACACGGAAGAGCUGAAAGUGCCCCCAGAUGAGGACUGCAUCAUCUGCAUGGAGAAGCUGUCCGCAGCGUCUGGAUACAGCGAUGUGACUGACAGCAAGGCAAUCGGGCCCCUGGCUGUGGGCUGCCUCACCAAGUGCAGCCACGCCUUCCACCUGCUGUGCCUCCUGGCCAUGUACUGCAACGGCAAUAAGGGCCCUGAGCACCCCAAUCCCGGAAAGCCGUUCACUGCCAGAGGGUUUCCCCGCCAGUGCUACCUUCCAGACAACGCCCAGGGCCGCAAGCCUCCAGGGGCUUCCAGAACCCGGAGACACUGGCUGACAUUCCGGCCUCCCCACAGCUGCUGACCGAUGGCCACUACAUGACGCUGCCCGUGUCUCCGGACCAGCUGCCCUGUGACGACCCCAUGGCGGGCAGCGGAGGCGCCCCCGUGCUGCGGGUGGGCCAUGACCACGGCUGCCACCAGCAGCCCUUCUGCAACGCGCCCCUCCCUGGCCCUGGACCCUAUCGGGUGAAGUGAUACCCUGUCUUGAACGAACAGGCCAGGCGCAGUGACUCACACCUGUAAUCCCAGGACUUUGGGAGGCUGAGUACAGAACCUGCUAAGGCCAUCAAACCUAUUGAUCGGAAGUCAGUCCAUCAGAUUUGCUCUGGGCCAGUGGUACUGAGUCUAAGCACUGCAGUGAAGGAGUUAGUAGAAAACAGUCUGGAUGCUGGUGCCACUAAUAUUGAUCUAAAGCUUAAGGACUAUGGAAUGGAUCUCAUUGAAGUUUCAGGCAAUGGAUGUGGGGUAGAAGAAGAAAACUUCGAAGGCUUAAUGAUGUCACCAUUUCUACCUGCCACGUAUCGGCGAAGGUUGGGACUCGACUGGUGUUUGAUCACGAUGGGAAAAUCAUCCAGAAAACCCCCUACCCCCACCCCAGAGGGACCACAGUCAGCGUGAAGCAGUUAUUUUCUACGCUACCUGUGCGCCAUAAGGAAUUUCAAAGGAAUAUUAAGAAGAAACGUGCCUGCUUCCCCUUCGCCUUCUGCCGUGAUUGUCAGCUUCUUGAGGGCUCCCCAGCCAUGCUUCCUGUACAGCCUGCAAAACUGACUCCUAGAAGUACCCCACCCCACCCCUGCUCCUUGGAGGACAACGUGAUCACUGUAUUCAGCUCCAUCAAGAAUGGUCCAGGUUCUUCUAGAUGAUCUGCACAAAUGGUUCCUCUCCUCCUUCCUGAUGUCUGCCAUUAGCAUUGGAAUAAAGUUCCUGCUGAAAAUCCACAUCUCCCCUGGGUCCGGUGUUCUGGAAGUGAGAGAGACAAUGUCACACUUCAAGGAGGCAGCUCUCUAGACAGGAAGGUUAUUCACGUCCCAUGUCAAGUCUAGCUAGAGUUCAGAGCAAUUGAGAAGUGCAAUUUUAUCUCCUGCCUUUCAUUCUAUACCCUGCUUCUGAACCAUCGUGUUCAACUGUGAAACUCACACUUUGGUGACCCUGACUCCAAAACUUAAUACACCCAAGGUCAGCCCCAGUGAUCUGCUUCAUAGCCAGGACUUUGGGUGGGUCUUCCCAGGGAGUAGGGCACCCUCAGAGAAUGUGGCUUUGGACUUCAUCACAGCUGGGGCCUUUUGUGUCACUUCAGAUCUAAACUUGUAACCGUGCUAGAUCUGCUUCUAACGUGACAACAUCACGAACCACGAGUCCAGAAGCCUAAUCCAUAAUCCUCCCUCCUCAUGACGAAGUCUCAUGCUCUGUGCUCAACAUGGUUAGCUGCACAAGAUGUAAACCAAAGCUUCACUGAACCCUCGACCCAAAUCGGUAACUCAAGUGCAUCAAUCAUAAUGAACCUCCCCGAACUCAGUAUUUAUGAUUAUUUUUGAGGCAGGGUCUCACUCUGUCGCCCGGGCUGGAGUGCAGUGGCAGGAUCAGGGCUCCCUGCAGCCCCGACCUCCCAGGCUCCAGCGAUCCUCCCGCCUCAGCCUCCUGAGUAGUUGGGAGUAGAGAUGCCUCCCACAUCGCCUGGCUAAUUUUUGUAUUUUUGUGGAGAGGGGAUCUCGCCACGUUGCCCAGGCUUGAAGCCAGAUCAAGCAAUUGGGUUCCUUGGAUUUCCGAAAUAGACCCCAAUAUUCUGCCUUUACCCCGGAGGAUGCAGAUGUACCUUCUCUCAGGCCGAUGACCUCAGGCCUCCACGGUCCCUGGAGCUCUAGGAAAGGUGGGCGCGAUCUCGCGCCCACACCCAGUGCUCUGGGUCAUAAGCCUGGAUCUGGAAAAACAAACGCGCUUUGAGAAGACGGGGACUCCCCAGGAUACCCCUCUCUCCCCUCGUCCAGCCUCCAGCCCACCCGAUUCCUCCCCACAUCCUCCACGUCCCCAGGCCCCACCCACCUCUUCCAACUCCUCCAGGGAAACCCAAGCCCUGCAGCGCAUGGAACAAAAGAAGUGGAACCGAUACUUCCGGAACAAGGCUAUCUGAGAGCAGUUCUUCCUGGCCCUCGGGUUCAUGUAACGGCAUAACUGGAACCAAAGCUCACUGAGCAAGGGUAUAUGAGAGCGGGUCUCCUCGUACAGGAAGUAGAAGAUGUUUUGUUUGGGGGCCUCGUCGUCCUCCUCCAUGUCAUUGGCCAGAUAGCUGAGGACAGAAAUCAGGUUGCUGCUCAGGGGCACCACCAGGAGAGACCUCCGGCUGAGGUCAGCUUCUCAGAGAGGAAGGUAAGGGACCGUCCCUAGCUCAGGACUGGCACCCACCCUGCAGAGAGCCACGCCUUCCUCAGGAGGGCUCUGCUGGACAGAGACCUGAUCAAGGGCGUCUCCCACUCCUUCAGGAUGGAGACAAAAACCCAACUGGUGACCAAGAGUGGUGGCUUAUGCCUGGAAUCCCAGCACACUGGGAGGCCGAAGCAGGAGGAUCACUUGAGGCCAGGAGUUUGAGACAGGCCUGGGCAACAUAGCAAGACCCUCGUCUCUAUUAAAAAUAUAAAAAAUACGCCAGACGUGGCUCAUGCCUGUAAUCCCAGCGCUUUGGAAGGCUGAAGCAGGUGGAUUGCUUGAGACCAGGAGUUUGAGACCAGCCUGGUCAACACAGAGAAACCCCAUCUAUACUAAAAAUACAAAAAUCAGCCUGGUGCGGUGGCACACCCAUUAGUCCUAGCUACUCAGGAGGCUGAAGCAUAAGAAUUGUGUGAACCCAGGAGGCGGAGGUUGCAGUGAGCCAAGAUUGGGCCCCUCCAUUCCAGCCUGAGAGACACAGCAAC
This 4646-nucleotide long non-coding RNA is filed under the name Homo sapiens (human). RNAcentral describes it as "non-protein coding lnc-CCDC146-1:12". Lineage: Eukaryota; Metazoa; Chordata; Mammalia; Primates; Hominidae. The record is from RNAcentral.